AACGGGGAGGGCAAGCGUUAUUCGCCUUGACUGGGCGUAAAGGGUUUGUAGGUAGUUUGUUUCUCUUGGCGGGACAUUUCGCAAUUUAUUUGCAUUUUUCGCCUUACUUUGAACAUCCUAGAGUUUAGUCGAAGGCGCCGGUACUUUUGAUGGAGGGGUGAAAUCCGUUGAGAUCAACAAGGACUACCAUUCGCGAAGGCGGGUUCCUAGAUUUUAUAAACUGACACUGAGGUACGAAAGCGUGGGGAGCGAACGGG
This 257-nucleotide ribosomal RNA is filed under the name uncultured bacterium. RNAcentral describes it as "partial 16S ribosomal RNA". It matches the Rfam family "Bacterial small subunit ribosomal RNA", at positions 524 to 776 of the family's 1533-position model. RNAcentral also lists the same sequence under 1 other name. The record is from RNAcentral.